CAACUUUGCUCUUUCGGCCUCAAGUUACAGCAGCCUUCUUAAAGCUACACGAAAGAAAUGAUCAUCGGAACUAUCGAUGUGCAUUCGUUCAAAAGAAUCGUUCACCGAAUCGAAAGUGCUUGAUUGUUUAACUUUAUUAGUGUAGUUUAAUUCUAUUCACAGCAAGCGACAACAACGAUUAGAUUGAACUUGUGCAACUCUGCAAGGAAGAAUGGGCAACUAUGACCCAAUCAAGGUUCAAACCUGGAGCUUUGACUUCAAUCCAUGCAGCAAGCAGGUACCAGGUCCUUUAGCACCACCUAGUGGACGAAAUGGGAAGAGACUGCACACGCUGAAAUGAAUCGGUCCCAACAAUUGUUCAUGUAUGAAAGUGUGCAUGUGUUUCACCAAUGAAGGAUGCAGGUAGGAGCAUCUCUGAACUUCUCUCCAACCGCACUUCGUUGGCCUGAAAGACAAGGGAACUUUGUAACCCAUAGAGUGUUACAUUUUCAGUCAUAUUUCGAAACUUGCAGACAAAAAAAAAAGGUCAAGUACUUUAGUCAGUUGUCCUUGAAAUAAAAACAUGAUUUUUUGCCUUG
Long non-coding RNA from Syngnathus typhle (broad-nosed pipefish), 578 nucleotides. RefSeq lists it as uncharacterized. The transcript is spliced from 2 exons. The record is from RefSeq and is a predicted model, not a curated record. Lineage: Eukaryota; Metazoa; Chordata; Actinopteri; Syngnathiformes; Syngnathidae.